Molecule: non-coding RNA, 21 nt
Filed under: Caenorhabditis elegans
Lineage: Eukaryota; Metazoa; Nematoda; Chromadorea; Rhabditida; Rhabditidae
Source: RNAcentral
UACCGGUACAGAGAGUGUAGA